UUUCCUUUCUUUAUGUUCCCUACGCUCUCUCUCAAAAUUCUAUACUUUUAAUUCUUAUUUUUAUUUUACCCUAUAAUAAUAAUAAAGCCCUGCUUCGUUUUAAGUAUUGUAACUCCCGGUCACCGCUACCCUUUCCGAUUGAUCUGAAAUCCAUAACUCAUGUCAGGGCUCUGCCCGACUAAGUUGUUGGGAUUCUAUCUCGGGACAUCGGGACAAGGUUGAUUUAGGAGUACUAUACUUACCACGAGUGCAUUAUAUAUUUUUAAUAGCCCAAAAGUUAUACCCAAAAUUUAUACCAGGAGGUUUUCUAGUCAAACCCUAAAGUUACAAAGUGGGUCCAUUCUCUUUUCUCACUAUUUUAUUCCCUUUUUCUUUAUAAUAUAAUUAUAUUCAAAAAUAUCCCAAAUCGAUCCAUACGUAAAAACCCGGACCCCUGAAACCCCAAUCCAUAUCAAAAAUCAAGAAAACAAGAUUUGUGGUCUUCAGGCGGGCCGCGUAAAGAUAAGCCGAGGCUUACGCGGGCCGCGACAGCAAGGCAAAUCUCCAGAUAAGCUUAAGGGACACGUGGUAUUCACCUGGCAAACCUACUGGUGACUCAGCAACCCUACGCGUAGGCUAGGCGACUACGCGGGCCGCGUAAGAGUCGAGCCAAGGCUCACGCGGGCCGCGUGAAACCCAAAUUCCAGCUAUAAAUAGAGCAGGCUACGAGCAGUCCUCUGGUGUCGAAAGUUUCUUUCAGAAACGAAGUUAUACUGUCCAAAUUCGAAUAUUACUCUCAAAUUAGCGAGGCACUGCUACGAUACAGGGUUACCAGGCUUAUCCAUAGGAUAAACUUCACCCCAUACACUUACAAUCAAAGUAGAUGUUAAUUCUCAGAAGAAAAUGAAUCAGGAAGCUUGUUAAAUCAAUACUGCAUGCUUAUAAUGUAAUUACAGUAGAUUGGAGUAAGAAUUGGAUCCGACACUGAAGGACUUCAAGAAGUGGCUUAUUAAUUAAAUCAAAUUAAGAAAUAUUGUUUAUUAAAAUCUACCUUUGUAAAACAUGGAAUUUAUUCCAUCUAUUUAAAUAAAAUCCGGUGUUUCUAAACUCUGAUAGUUUUCCUAACUCACGGUCCUGAUGAAAUUUCCGCUGCAAAUGUUUUCAAAAAUAAACUACCGGUACCACGGGGCUGCUCACGGCUCUCGAUUCCGUCCAGGGUGGGUCGGGGGUCGUGACAAAAAAAGAAGAAGUUUCAACCAAUAAACCAAUAAGAAUGAUUCAUUCUACUUCAUUUAAUAUUUGCAUUUAAUUUUAAUAUAGUGGAAGGUUCAAAUGAGAAGAAAAAAAAUUGUAAGAAUAAAAAGAAUAAGUUUUAAAUCAAUAGAAAUGCUCAAUUUUACUUCAUUUAAUAUGUGUAUUUAAUGUUAUUAAUAAGCCAUAUAGGUAUAUUUCUAAUUGUAAUUAAUUAGCUAACUAACUAAAAUUGUAACUCACUUUUAAAUAUAUUCUUUCAAGAUAAAAUAAUUUAGGAUGAAGGACAAUUUUCGACAUGUGUAGGAUAAAUUUUAGUAUGUGUAUGAUAAAUUCUUAAAUGUGUAUGAUAAAUUUAGAUAUGCGUAGGGUAAAUUUCGGUAAGUGUAAGAUAUAUGUAGGAUAAAUUUUGAAAUAUGUAGGAUAAAAUGUUUUUUGCUUUAUUAAUGAGAGAUAACAUAAUUAAUGGGGGGAGUUAUAAACUAUUUAAUGUUUUAUCAUUAUGCAGUUUCUUCUUUUUCUUCUCACAUUAAAUUUUCUUCUCAAAUGAACCUUACCUAAUAAAAAUCAUGAUAUCUUGUGAGUCAUCAUCUUAGAAUAAAUGUGAAAACCGUAAUUGUUGAUAGUUGAUAGGUACCACUGCAAAUUUAAAAACAAAUAUGUAUCUAGAAUUAAAGGGCACACCUUUUCCUUUUUAUGAAAAUAAAUUCGGAAUUGGUGGCGCCCGAAAAAAUUCCUUCAUAUCAUAAUAAGUGCUUAAAAGAAAUAUAGUAUAUGUAGCCUAUGUGUCACAUGUCGGAUUGCGGCCGGAUUGAACCACCACUAGAAGGUUGCUAAAUAUACUGUAUUGGCUGAAGCUUACGUGUCACAUAUUGAGUUGCAACUUAGCUGAAACACCACUGAGUGAAGUUGUAUAUGAGAAACAAUAUCAUCAAUUCCAUAGAAUGUUUAAUUUUAAAUACAUGUAGGUUUUUGUUUGAUGUGGUAGGAAAAUCUAAAUAAUUAAACUUGUGCCUUAAUAGUUUGAUACGAGAUUAGGUAGAACUAUAAAUCUUGAGUGUGAGAUCCUUAAAUUGAAUGUCAACUUGAACUUAAUAUAUGAAUGGGAGCCUAAUUGUCUGGUGGUUGGGUUUAGAUGGAUAACCAAUAGUUGCGGCUAGUUUUUUUUUGGACGGUAGGAUUUUAUGAUUAUAGAAUAGUUGCGGUUAGUGUAUGAGUAUAUCUUCAAUGAAAUAACCUAAUGUUUUUGAAAGCCAUAUAUUUUGAUUGUGAUUCCAUUGCAGCUUUUUCAGGGACGAAAAUCGUUGAAGUGUGGGGAGAUUUGAUGUGUUGCUAAAUACCGUCACGUUAUUUAUCUAUGUAUUUUGCAUAUUUUUAGAUAAGUUUUUAUUUGUUUUUGUUUUUUAAAGCUUGUAUUUGAUUAUUUUGUGUUUUGGCAGAUCCAUGUGCAAAAUGGAGCAAAAACGAGCUGAAACGGUAACCAAACGAGCAACCGGGAGAAAGGAUAGAAGUGCAGGGUCCUAAACUAUAAUUUCUGAAGAAAUGUAGGGGUACCGCGUCAUGAGAAAGGAUCCUAGGGUGUGUUGCACAUCGCCUAGGGUUAUAAGAACACGUGAAAUACCCUUAAUGAAAUAAGGGUAUUUAUCCUUGUGUCGUCGCUUCAGUUCUUUAUCUUUCUAUGCCAUAAGAAUAUCGCGAGGCCGGGUUCCAUUUGGAUCGCGAUACGUGAGACGUGUAUUAAACAAAACAAACGUAUUUGAGUUGGAUUUAUGUCACACCCCGAUAUUUCCACAUGUUACCGGUGGGCCCGGCUGGGAGUAUCGUGACGUAGUUGAUAUCAUCAUAGUCAAAUAUACACAGUUUAUAGCACAGCAGAAGUCUUGGUAGAAAUUACUAUUAUAAACCGAAAGUGUAAAGUACGAAUAAAAUAAUAUACAGACGGUUGUAAGAAAGGAUCCACAGGCGGAUCUA
RNAcentral lists this long non-coding RNA (3201 nucleotides) under Helianthus annuus (common sunflower). Its description in RNAcentral is "hypothetical non coding rna". Lineage: Eukaryota; Viridiplantae; Streptophyta; Magnoliopsida; Asterales; Asteraceae. The record is from RNAcentral.